This 74-nucleotide transfer RNA is filed under the name Exophiala xenobiotica. RNAcentral's name for it is "tRNA-Ile (AAT) (tRNA-Ile-AAT-1-1)". It matches the Rfam family "tRNA". From Rfam's summary of the family: Transfer RNA (tRNA) molecules are approximately 80 nucleotides in length. Their secondary structure includes four short double-helical elements and three loops (D, anti-codon, and T loops). The record is from RNAcentral. Lineage: Eukaryota; Fungi; Ascomycota; Eurotiomycetes; Chaetothyriales; Herpotrichiellaceae.
GGUUGCUUAGAUCAGCUGGUUAGAUCGUGGUGCUAAUAACACCAAGGUCGUGGGUUCAAGCCCCAUAGUGACCA